UACGUAGGGGGCAAGCGUUGUCCGGAUUUAUUGGGCGUAAAGAGCGUGUAGGCGGCCACACAGGUCAGCUGUGAAAACUCGAGGCUCAACCUCGAGACGUCGGUUGAAACCGUAUGGCUAGAGUCCGGAAGAGGAGAGUGGAAUUCCCGGUGUAGCGGUGAAAUGCGCAGAUAUCGGGAAGAACACCCGUGGCGAAAGCGGCUCACUGGACCAUUACUGACGCUGAGGCUCGAAAGCUAGGGGAGCAAACAGG
Molecule: ribosomal RNA, 253 nt
Filed under: uncultured bacterium
Lineage: Bacteria
Description: partial 16S ribosomal RNA
Rfam family: Bacterial small subunit ribosomal RNA
Source: RNAcentral